GGAAUCAUUUUCAGGUUCAGGUAAAACAGUAUCUGCAUAAUGUCACUGAUCUUGAGUUCUUAGUGUUGAAGGUUCAGGCUCCAUUCCCUGCGCUCAUUGCGGUUGUGUACAGACCUCCAGACUACAGUUUGGCACCGUUCAUGCAAAACUUGCCACAGCAGAAUCUUCAUUCAGGUGUUCUGAGGACAUAUUACAGUUACCACAACCCUGUCUUUUGUGUCCUGUCCUCCAGCCAAUCAUGAAGUCGUCUGAUGUAUUUUUUCAGACAGGGCACACACAGUCCUGUUUCCUUUGUGGCAAAACCUUCAAGCUUCACCAUCCUCAGCUGAAACAACAACAUCUUAACACCUUCUUCAUGAACUGCUGAGCCAAACCUGAUCCAUCAGUGCUGGACUGCACAGAUAACUACAUGCCACAAGGAGACUGCUGU
This is a long non-coding RNA of Oreochromis aureus, 430 nucleotides long. RefSeq lists it as uncharacterized. NCBI's taxonomy places the organism in Eukaryota, Metazoa, Chordata, Actinopteri, Cichliformes, Cichlidae. The record is from RefSeq and is a predicted model, not a curated record. The transcript has 3 exons.